CUGUGGAACCUUGCCUUGGUUAAGAUACGCUUUUGCUGCAUUCAGCAAAACCCAAAAAAGUGGCUUAAGCAAGAGUGAGGUUUAUUUAUUUCUCAUAUAAAAGAAUUCUAGAGAUAAGCAGUUCAGGGAGAGUAUGGUGACUCAGUGAUCCUCAGGAAUUUAGGCUUCUGUUUGCUUUUCUGUCUCAAGGUUGCCUCGUGGUCCAAAAUAGCUGCUGGAACUCCAGCCAUCACAUUCAUGUUUCAGACAAGAAUUAGAAGAAAGGGAGAAAGGACUUAAGAGUGAGUAGCAGCUGUUGGUCUGGCUUUAAAGGCACUUUCCUAGAAGCCUCUCUUGACAAUUUCUAUUCAGAUCUCGUUAGCCAUUUCUGGCUACAGGGGAGGCUGGGGAAUGUAGUGUUUUAUCUGGGCAUAUGGCCACCUCAAGUAAAACAGGGGCUCUGUUACAAAGAAAAAUGGAAGAAUUGAUAUUGAGUAGGCAACUAGCAGCCUCUGGCACAAGCCUUUUCCAACUACUCGAACCCAUCUUUCGGUUCUUCGCAUGAGCCCUACACUCACAAUUGUCGUAUUAUUGUGCCAUCUAUUAAUUCAUUGACCCAGUGAACAAAUAACAAGUGAGCCACUGCUCUGUGCAAGGCACGAUGCCUUUUAUAUGUUCGCUGUCAAGUGUCACUCUCAAACUAAGAGGUUAGCUGGCUCUUUGAGAGAAGGGAUCAUGGCUUAUGCUGCUUUUUCUCCCUCACAAUAACACCUUUCACAAAGCUGGGCACGUGGCAAGUGCUGGAUAAGUACCUCAUUGAUCUUCUAAUAGUCACAGAUGAGACGCUCAGUGAAAACUUCAAUUCCUUGACAUGGGACUGUGCCCAGCCGUUACUGGUUGCGUAAGGUUUGUUUGGGGUUCAUUCUGGUUUGAAGGUAGAGCCUAGGUUCUCUUGCUGCAUCAGUGCUGUGUUGCUGCCACACAGACCUGUUCCGGUAUUGGGGUGGCUCUGUCUGUUUUGGAAACUGGAUUCUGUUGGGAUACUCAACUAGAAUUAUAAGCAGACCUGUCUGUGCCCACCUGACUGUCUUCACCACCACUCUGCCCGUGUAGCUGUUUUUACUCAGCUCGAAUCUCCCUUGUGAUUUCUGCACUGCGGAGCUGCCAGGUGGAUCUGCAGUCUUUGCGCAGCGAGCGUCAGCCGCGGUUCACGUUCCUGCCUUCCCAUCUGAUCCCUGCUCCUGUCUGCCCGAGACAAGACUGUCUGAAGGGAGGUUGCCUCGAGCUUAUGUCACAUCUUGCAGCUGCUGAGAAAAUGAUUGUUUUAACAUUGUUAUUGGCACUUGAAGGAAAGGAACUAGAAAAUAUUUCUCCUCUACUCCCUGUAAGGCAGUGUGUUACGUGCUUCACCUGCGUGAUCGCAUUUCAUAUGCAGAACCGUCUACUCCUCCGUUCUCACUGUGAAGAAAGUAAUACUCGGCUCGUUUUGCAGAUGACGAAGCCGAGGCUCUGACCUGUGAACUAACAAGCCCAAGUGCACUUAGAGUGAAGCGGUGGAAUUAUUUUUUUCUCUAAGAUACUAAUUAAUUAUGUGGAGAGAUAAUUCACAUAGUAUACAAUUUACCUGCUUAAAGUGAGCAUGCAUGGUUUUUAGUAUAUUCGUAAAGUUGUGUAACCAUUGUCGCUCUAAUUCCAGACCGUUUUCAUCAGGUCAGUGAUUUAAAUUAACUAGACCCGAUUUAGGGGAACAUCAGGGCUUGUGUGUGUGAAAUAUGUGCAUAAAAGGACCAUCGCCUCAUAAGCUGUUUUCUUCCCGUUACUGCAGCAGUCCUGGCACGCUUUGAAUUGCUGCAGAAUACGCUGAAAUUCCUCUGGGCCCCCCAUCCUACCUUGUUUGUGUUUCCUGGACUUAGGACAGGGGACAGAAUAUUCCAAGCUUGAGGUUCCAGAAACAGCCCUGGGGUUGUAAUUGACAUCGUGAGAGGCACCCUUAUUCUGACCCGUGUCUUACUUGUCCCUGGAGCCCCAGAAUGUCAUGGUGCCUGGCAUAUAGGAAGUGCUUAAUAAAUGUUCAUGAAUAUCCAGAGGGUCAUUCCAUUAGCUCUAAUCUAAAUCACUGCCAUAACUGAUUCUUCUGCCUUUAGCCUUUCUCCUCCAGCCCCAGGUCUCUCCCACGUGAAAGACAAAGUGGUUGCUCUGGCCUAAAUCUACAGAGUUUAGACUGAAGUGAUCCUACUGGCUGUCCGUCCCUUUAAAAGGCUUUCCCCCAAGCCCUACCUAGCAACUGCUGCUUUCACGCUAUUGGCCGACACUGGGUGCAGGCCUGUGAGUGGCAAGGAGGGCUGGGGAAUCAGGAGUUGUCACUCUUCCGCCUCUGUAGUAAAGCGUGUUAAGGGAGAAGGGGACUCUGAAUAGCUUGGGGAAAACCAGCACAGCGCUUGCUCGCUCUGCAGUCCUUCCCUGAACCUGCACGUUCGUGUCAGUGAUUACAAAAUGGUUUGAUCUCUGUUUCCCCUAUUGGAUUCCAAACCCUUAAAUUGUGUAUGUUAGAAGGGGACGAUUUAAUUUUAGCAUCCCUAUCCCUAAUACAAUGCCAGCAUAUUGUAUUUAUUGAAUAACAAAAGAAAGAUGGUACAUUUUCAAGUAAGAACUUUGUGGGAUUUGGAAUUCUUGGCUGGACAAUUAGGGUCUUUAAGCAUUUAAAACCUUUUUUCAUUUCCUCUUCUUUAUCUCUUCUUCCUUUAUUUUAUUUUUUUUUAUUUUAUUUUAUUUUAUUUUAUUUUAUUUUAUUUUAUUUUUUAUCUUUUUGUCUUUUCUAGGGCUGCACCUGAGGCAUAUGGAGGUUCCCAAGCUACGUGUCCAAUUGGAGCUGUAGCCGCCGGCCUACGCCAGAGCCACACAACGCGGGAUCCGAGCCACAUCUGCAACCUAUACCACAGCUCAUGGCAACGCCGGAUCGUUAACCCACUGAGCAAGGGCAGGGACCGAACUCGCAACCUCAUGGUUCCUAGUCGGAUUCGUUAACCACUGCGCCACGACGGGAACUCCUAACUUAAAAUUUUUUAUGCCUCCCUUUCCUUAUCUGUAGUCUGAGAGUGAUAAUAAUAUGAUUAGCAAUACCUAAUUAAGUCGGUGUGAAGAUAAAUAACUCAAUAUGUAAAGCAUGUAGCACCUGGCACAUAGUAAACAGUGUGUGUUGGCUAAUUUUAUUAUUAUUAUUAUCACAAACAUGAUUCGUUUGGCCAUGUGCACUGCUGAGAGAGAGAAUAAGGGUGAAGAAUGGUGCCUUGCUCAUCUUGUUGCCUGUCAUAUCCGUAAUUGAAACCUGAGCCUUCUGGAAGUCCUGCAGUUUGAAUAAUCCAAGAGCUGGAGCAGAGGAGCAUCCAAUUACGGAUGCCUCACAGCUGCAUCCGGGGAGGAAGGUGAGGCCUCAGCACUGUCUAGCUGAGGUUCUGGUCCUAUUACAGAGAAGCCCUGCUUUGUAUGCAGCUGCCUUGCCUUGGGUUUGGCUACAUAAUUGCGCCUUUUUGUCUCAUUUAAAAGCAUCUUGAGGAAUUCAGAGCUCUUUCCCGCUGACAGUCAGCAGAGAAAGCCAGAGUGUCACGUCUCUAAUGAGCCUCACGGAUGCUCUGAUGGCCCCACCAAGACGGCCAGGCAGGGAGCUCACACACAAGCCUGUGCCUGCAUCCACGAGCUCCCUUUGAGCACAGGCGACCAUGCCAGACUUCAUUAAGGGACUCCCUGUGCACCCCCAGGACCCCCCACGCCUGUCCUCAUUGUCUCAGAAGGGCAUGGUGUUCUUCCUGAAUGCUGGGCUUGUUGGUAACCUUUGCGGGCUGGCAGUGAAAAAAAGAAAUUAAUUAUUCAUAUCAGCGGGCCUGAAGGAGCUGUUGUUUGCAGAGUUGACUCCUCUUCUGGCUACCAGACCCAGAAUUCCCCAGUGUGUUUGGACAAGCAGAAGACAGGGUGGUCCUUGGAGACAGCUGCUCUGAAAACAGAGAGGGCAAGUGGCUGGCUCCAGGCUACAUGCAGUCUGUUGAUGCACUUUGUUUGGGCUGCAGGGAGUUAAAAAAAUUUUUUUUUUAAUUGGGAGAGUUUUACAUAGAAUCUGGAUUUCUGUGUUUGCUUAAAAGAUGGGAAGGUCUUCGAUACAUGUGGAAAUCAUGACAGUGCUGAGUAAAUGACCCCUUCAGAUGGACCAUGAUUUCACUGAUUGCUUCAGCGGCAUCAGGACCUUUACCCAUUCACAUUGUGAGAGGUGUGUGUUUAGUGUGAACAGAGCUGCCUGGCCUUGCAUCCUGACCCUGCCACUUACUAGUUGUGUGUGACUUUAGGCAAAUUACUUAGCCCCUUUGGGCCCCAGUUUCCUCGCCUGCAAAAUGGGGGUUAUAAUGGUUUGCCUCACAAAUCUUGAGAACCAAAUGAGUUAGAAUAAGUGCUUAAAAACAGUGUACCUAUCACAUAAUAAGUACUGCUUAGGUGUUAAUGUGUACUAGCAUUAUACUACAUACCUGCCUGCUGUUUCAGGCAUUUGAGAUGAUAAUCCCUGUGUUAAAGAGUUUUCCAUGGAAGAAAAAAACAUAUUUCUUUCCUAGUGUUCCUCUUAACUCAUUAAUGAGUGUCUACUACCGGAGUUCCCGUUGUGGCCAGUGGUUAACAAACCCGACUAGGAACCAUGAGGUUGCAGCUUCGAUCCCGAUCCCUGGCCUCGCUCAGUGGGUUAAGGAUCCAGUGUUGCCGUGAGCUGUGGUGUAGGUUGCAGACGCGGCUCGGAUCCCGUGUUGCUGUGGCUCUGACGUAGGCUGGUGGCUACAGUUCUGAUUGGACCCCUAGCCUGGGAACCUCCAUAUGCUGCAAGUGCAGCCCUAAAAAAAAAAAAAAA
This 4861-nucleotide long non-coding RNA is filed under the name Sus scrofa (pig). RNAcentral's name for it is "lncRNA (ENSSSCG00050020457.1)". Lineage: Eukaryota; Metazoa; Chordata; Mammalia; Artiodactyla; Suidae. The record is from RNAcentral.